AAAAGAAUAAGAAUACAACCCAAAAUGCCAAGAGGAAAACUCUCCAAACUGAAAGGAACAAAAGCCAACCGAAAAAACGGCCACACAACAAAGGAACGAGCUGACCAACAUCACCAUCAAAAUAACUAAAAAAACUCAAAAAAUUAGCCAAAUAAAAACACAAGCCAGGAGACAACAGCACCAAAAUGCAAACAAGAACCCUAAAGACAAGCUGCUUAGCAGUUAAACGAAACCAUCGAGGCACCCAAAGAGAGCCAAGCCAGAAAAUCCAAUACCAAUAAUAUAUAUCAAGGCAGGAAGCUGUUUUCAGGAAAGCAAAUGCAAACUGCAGAGAGGACAGGCUACAUUUCAAUCUGAUAUUCUUCUUGUUUAUCAUCAUCACCACGAUCUUCAGAACCACAGAGGGAGGAAUCUGGGCCACAUGAUCAGGUGAUUGAUUAAGUUUUAUUAUUAUUAAUUCUCACGUACCUAGCUAGCUGCAUGCAUGUGUUAAUUAUUGGUAAUUAGUGUGCCCUUCUUUCCCUACGUAAAAAUAUCAAUUGUUGUUGCUUGCUCCAAGUGGGGGGGUUUCUGUUAGAUGAUAUCGCAAAUGUUCUUAAUUAGUUUACUAUUUUAAGUGGGGGGUUAAGUCAAAUUUUCUAUUUGCUAAAAUAGGCCCUUGUAACUCAAACACCGUAGACGAUAACCCACCAAUAAUGCAAAUGAAUAAUACCUCUCAUUGUACAUUUAAGUUUGCACUAAUGUAAUAAUGGCUUACAAUCAAAUUAGUUCAAAUACUCCCCCCUUACCUCUUACAGGUCGGAUAAGUGAAUUUUUUUUAGGGGAAUGCUAACAACCUUCUCUCUAACCUU
RNAcentral lists this long non-coding RNA (851 nucleotides) under Prunus persica (peach). RNAcentral describes it as "long non-coding RNA (PPER_LNC000403)". The record is from RNAcentral. Lineage: Eukaryota; Viridiplantae; Streptophyta; Magnoliopsida; Rosales; Rosaceae.